This 99-nucleotide signal recognition particle RNA is filed under the name Terriglobia bacterium. RNAcentral's name for it is "signal recognition particle sRNA small type". It matches the Rfam family "Bacterial small signal recognition particle RNA". Rfam says of the family: The signal recognition particle (SRP) is a universally conserved ribonucleoprotein involved in the co-translational targeting of proteins to membranes. Archaeal SRP consists of a 7S RNA and homologues of the eukaryotic SRP19 and SRP54 proteins. Lineage: Bacteria; Pseudomonadati; Acidobacteriota; Terriglobia. The record is from RNAcentral.
GUCUCAGGCCUGUGCACUUCAGACCCGCAAACCCCGCCAGGUUCGGAAGAAAGCAACGGUAGUGGAGCUCUGGAGGUGCCACAGAAAACCUGGGGCCUA